CGAAAAAAAUAUUCCCUCCUAUUCCUUAAAAUAUUUCCGCCUAUUCUUUGGACUUAAGUUCGGAAUACUUUUGAAAUUAUUUUAGCAAUAGUAAACACUUCUCAUCGUCGCUGCCCUACCGCCAUUGCUAUCUGUCUUCUCUAUUUUACCGUCGCCAGCCACCAAUCCCAGGUAACACAAAUGAUAUCUCUCUCUCUCACUGAUAUAUAAAUAUGUAUAUAAAAUUUUGCAGAGUUUGGAUGGGAGAGAGAUCUGGGUAAAUGUUGCUGAAGAUAAAUCCAAGCGCAGCUAUGAGUCUUUCAAAAUUUUGAUUUAGGUAUUUCUUUUUUGCAUUUGCUGUAAGUUUUGAGUCUCGACUUGCAAAUUUCUUAUAAGAUAAUGUGUUUAAUGAUGUUUUUCCUUUAUUUUGCUUUUUGGGAGCGUUAGAUUGGUGAAUGAAUGUUUGUGACAUGCGAAAUUCGCCUUCCACUUGUAUGUUAAAUUACUGUUUCUUUUAAGCCGUGGUGUGCUCAAGUAGCUAGAUGAAACCAGUAAAUAUAGAAAGUUUUGGAGUAUUUAAAGUAGUAACCUUUUGUUAUUAACUGACUUCUAGGUACUCGACCUUUUGCCUCACUAGGAUUUGCUCGUAUUCAUUAUAAAAAGUUGUAUGCUCAGUAUCUAAGCAACUAUCUUUGUUUUUCUUUUUUUUCCAUUACUGUUUCUUUUGUGGCAUAAUCUGUGUUUCUUACUCCAUUUCACAUAUGGAAGAACUAACAAAAAAAUAUUGCAAUUUUAUAUUUUGUACAAUGAAAUAGAGUGAGAGCAACUGAAGAUUCAACAACUGUUCUUUUAGUUUGAUGCCAAGAUACUCAUCAAGUUAGUUCCUUAUUAAGAUCGAACAAUUCUUUGAGGCUACCUUGUUAGGAAGAGUAAUCAGAGAUUUGAAGAAAAAUGUAGAAUAGUUUGUUGAGACACUUAUGAUAGGUCGUGUUAGCUACUUACUGCCACUCAGAUUUUACUACCACUAAGCACUUUAUCUUUUAGUGCUUAGAAAAACUCUAGAGUCUCAAGUGUGCUUUGGACAAAUUGAUACAUCAUGAGUUUAUCGGAGAUUCUUGAGUCCGAGAAAGACACUUCACGAAAAGCUAAGUAUUUUUAACAAGUAAUUCAACAUUCCAAUAUGUUAGCUUGCUGCCACUCAAAUUUUAUAGUCACUAAGCAUUUUACUAUAUAGUGCUUCAAAGAAAACUCUAUAGUGUAUUAGGUAAAGAUCAGAUAUAUCAUGAGUUUAUUGGAGAAGUAGAGUAUUUGUGGUAUAUAACUUGUUCAAGGCAUAUUUAUGAGAGAAAUAAACAUUCAAUGUAAGGGUAAAGUGUUUAAGGUUUUUAUGUGGAUUUACUGUUCGUCUAGUUUCUCAAGGUUCAUGCUUUAUUGCACAGAAUUUGUUUUCUUGAGAAAGAUUUUGGCAACUAUUAAGUGGCCAUUUAGAUAUUAAUCAUUCUCCUUUUUUUCUUUCUAUUUAAUGUGUUAAAUUGAACCAAAUUGCAUUUAAGUCACAUAAGAUCUUGUUAUAAGAACUUAAAUUUCCCUUUGAUUUGAAUACAACCAUACUAAUACCUUAUUGCCUAUUUAUUUGCAGGCUCGAAUUAAAAAGAUUAUGCAAGAUGAUGAGGAUGUGCGGGUGAUUAAUGGCAUGGUUGUCCCUCUUUUAAUCUGUAAGUGCUCUUGAAAAGUCACAUAGUUCAGUGAACUAAGUUAACAUCUUUUAGUUCGUAUUAUCAUGUAUGAAGUAGGAUUUAAAGAAAUCUUGGUAGAUUAUGCUCAGUUCACGCUAAGGAGUUUGAGUUGUCUUGUUUGAUUUAACAAACUUCAUAUGGUAAUUAAGUUCAAAUAAUACAAAAUACUCAUACUGUUAGGACCCAUAACAUUGAAAUGGAGGGUGUUUUUGAUGAAGCAUUUGUUAGCCUACUCAUAAAAAUUUCAGGACUACAAUAGAAGACAUUUUAAUAUUUUAUACAAUUGUACCAGAAAGAAUACAUACACAAUUCAAGCUAAUUAAGAUAUGUCAUCAAAGAAAGAAAACACAUCAUUUAUCGCAUACGGGAAGGCAUAUCAAUUAACUUAGCAUGUUAUCUAAGUAGGUAUCUUUGAAAUAUAUAAAAAACAAUUGACGGUCAAAACUAGAAUGCUACAUUUGUAAAAUGUUCUUAUGAGCAGCAGACUUUGAUCUAAAUAUUUGGUAUUGCUCACUAAAUUUUGAUUUAUAUGCUUUCCUCAACAUUUUACUAAAUAACUUUGAGCCAACACAGAAAACUCUGCCUUAUAUAGACAUUUUGGCUUCUUUAAUUCAUAACUUUUGUUGUAUGCUGGAGCAAAAAAUCUGUGUAUAGGCCCCAUUUUAGUUUUCUUUAUCUUUUCAGAUGUAGAUGUAGUUAAUUGUUGAAUUUAUCUACCACUUUAUACCUAUAAUAAUUCUGCCUAGAAUAAAUUGGGCAGCUUUGUUUUAUUAUCCAUACUGAAAUUUAGUUGCUUAAUCACUGGGAAGGCAAAAACGAGGAAUAUGUUAGAAAAGGUUUAUGUCAAUAGGUGAGAUAUUAUUUUAUGUAUAUGUAAUCAGUUUGCAUGAGCAUUAGAGUUCUAAUUUUAACUUUGGCUUUUUAUUUUUUACUGUCUAUUCAAAAAAUUGUCUAUUCUGCUAAUUUUAUCAACUAUAGAGAAGCCUCCCUUUUUAACUUGUGAGAAUUUGUAAGCAUGCCAAACAAAAUAUGUUUCUUUUUAGAAUCUAGAAGCUACUGAUAAUAAAAAAAUUCAAAGAACAAAGGAAAGGGUGAAAGAUAUACUAUUUUGAGAAUGUAAAUGUCCCAUAAUUAUUUUUUGAUUAUUGAUGGAUCUCACAUGUGGUUGUACGUAUACUCUUUUAUUUUAUCAUUUCACGUCAUACAUUAUGAUAUUUAGGAAUUUGGCAUGUGGAAAGCUUCAUUGUGAUCAAGAGCUUGAGAAUCUCGUGAUUCUUAUUUUCUAGUUUGUAGCCAUUUGAUAACAUAUUAUCAAAAGCUGAUAAUAGUAAUUAGAUUCAAAUAGCUUAGCUUUUUUAUUAUAUUGUCAACAUUUUGAAAUUGUGAAUUAGUAGUUGUUUUUGUUUGAUGUGGAUUUCAUGAAGUGAAUUUAGCAUUUCGAAA
Molecule: long non-coding RNA, 3158 nt
Filed under: Nicotiana tabacum (common tobacco)
Lineage: Eukaryota; Viridiplantae; Streptophyta; Magnoliopsida; Solanales; Solanaceae
Description: long non-coding RNA (NTAB_LNC001804)
Source: RNAcentral